UAGGGAAUCUUCCGCAAUGGGCGAAAGCCUGACGGAGCAACGCCGCGUGAGUGAUGAAGGUCUUCGGAUCGUAAAACUCUGUUAUUAGGGAAGAACAAAUGUGUAAGUAACUAUGCACGUCUUGACGGUACCUAAUCAGAAAGCCACGGCUAACUACGUGCCAGCAGCCGCGGUAAUACGUAGUUGGCAAGCGUUAUCCGGAAUUAUUGGGCAUAAAGCGCGCGUAGGCGGUUUUUUAAGUCUGAUGUGAAAGCCCACGGCUCAACCGUGGAGGGUCAUUGGAAACUGGAAAACUUGAGUGCAGAAGAGGAAAGUGGAAUUCCAUGUGUAGCGGUGAAAUGCGCAGAGAUAUGGAGGAACACCAGUGGCGAAGGCGACUUUCUGGUCUGUAACUGACGCUGAUGUGCGAAAGCGUGGGGAUCAAACAGG
Molecule: ribosomal RNA, 429 nt
Filed under: Actinomycetes bacterium
Lineage: Bacteria; Bacillati; Actinomycetota; Actinomycetes
Description: Actinobacteria bacterium partial 16S ribosomal RNA
Rfam family: Bacterial small subunit ribosomal RNA
Source: RNAcentral